This 210-nucleotide non-coding RNA is filed under the name Kiloniella litopenaei. The record is from RNAcentral. Lineage: Bacteria; Pseudomonadati; Pseudomonadota; Alphaproteobacteria; Rhodospirillales; Kiloniellaceae. RNAcentral also lists the same sequence under 1 other name.
ACCAAAUAUAGAUAUCGAGGUUCUUUCGAAAUCCAUUCGAAAGCUAAGAGGGAAUUCGGUGAGCGAUACAAUCGCAAUCCCGAAGCUGCCCCCGCAACUGUAAGCAGUUAGCAACUGUCGCGUAUGCCACUGAUGUCAUUUUUACAUUGGGAAGGCGGACACAAGCAUUGAUCUGCAAGCCAGGAGACCUGCCCCGAUAAAAGUCAAUUC